Molecule: ribosomal RNA, 252 nt
Filed under: uncultured bacterium
Lineage: Bacteria
Description: partial 16S ribosomal RNA
Rfam family: Bacterial small subunit ribosomal RNA
Source: RNAcentral
UACGAAGGGGGCUAGCGUUGCUCGGAAUCACUGGGCGUAAAGGGUGCGUAGGCGGGUCUUUAAGUCAGGGGUGAAAUCCUGGAGCUCAACUCCAGAACUGCCUUUGAUACUGAAGAUCUUGAGUUCGGGAGAGGUGAGUGGAACUGCGAGUGUAGAGGUGAAAUUCGUAGAUAUUCGCAAGAACACCAGUGGCGAAGGCGGCUCACUGGACCGGUAUUGACGCUGAGGUGCGAAAGCGUGGGAGCAAACAGG